UGGGGAAUAUUGGACAAUGGGGGCAACCCUGAUCCAGCAAUGCCGCGUGUGUGAAGAAGGUCUUCGGAUUGUAAAGCACUUUCGACGGGGACGAUGAUGACGGUACCCGUAGAAGAAGCCCCGGCUAACUUCGUGCCAGCAGCCGCGGUAAUACGAAGGGGGCUAGCGUUGCUCGGAAUGACUGGGCGUAAAGGGCGUGUAGGCGGUUUACACAGUCAGAUGUGAAAUCCCCGGGCUUAACCUGGGAGCUGCAUUUGAUACGUGUAGACUAGAGUGUGAGAGAGGGUUGUGGAAUUCCCAGUGUAGAGGUGAAAUUCGUAGAUAUUGGGAAGAACACCGGUGGCGAAGGCGGCAACCUGGCUCAUGACUGACGCUGAGGCGCGAAAGCGUGGGGAGCAAACAGGAUUAGAUACCCUGGUAGUCCACGCUGUAAACGAUGUGUGCUAGAUGUUGGGUAACUUUGUUAUUCAGUGUCGCAGUUAACGCGUUAAGCACACCGCCU
This 502-nucleotide ribosomal RNA is filed under the name uncultured bacterium. RNAcentral's name for it is "partial 16S ribosomal RNA". It matches the Rfam family "Bacterial small subunit ribosomal RNA", at positions 355 to 874 of the family's 1533-position model. The record is from RNAcentral.